GUCCCUGUAGCGCAAUGGAUAGCGAGUUGGAUUUCUAAUCCAAAGGUCGUGGUUCAAAUCUCACCUGGGAUG
Molecule: transfer RNA, 72 nt
Filed under: Trichonephila clavata
Lineage: Eukaryota; Metazoa; Arthropoda; Arachnida; Araneae; Nephilidae
Rfam family: tRNA
About the family: Transfer RNA (tRNA) molecules are approximately 80 nucleotides in length.
Source: Rfam by way of RNAcentral